RNAcentral lists this unclassified non-coding RNA (173 nucleotides) under Cutaneotrichosporon arboriforme. RNAcentral's name for it is "Cutaneotrichosporon arboriformis ITS2". Lineage: Eukaryota; Fungi; Basidiomycota; Tremellomycetes; Trichosporonales; Trichosporonaceae. The record is from RNAcentral.
AAAUCUCAACCAUUAGGGUUUCUUAAUGGCUUGGAUUUGGGUGUUGCCAGUUUCGCACUGGCUCACCUCAAAGGAGUUAGCGUGUUUAACUUGUCGUUUCUGGCGUAAUAAGUUUCGCUGGUGAAGACUUGAGAAGUACGCUUCUAAUCGUCCUUGGACAAUUAUUUGAACUC